GCGGUUGCAUCGACGUCAUCGCAUUACGUCAUAAAAAGUUUUUGGAGGACAACCUCCCGAAAAUUUACAUGGCGGCUGCACAAAACUCUCAGUUUAGCUUUGCUCUCUUAGCAGAGAAAGCGAAUUAAGCAACGUUAAUAGCUAUAGACGAUCAAAGGACUCCUACCUGAACUGCUGCAGAGGAAAUGAGUUUGAUAAGGUGUGCUCCUCCUCUCGAUGAUAUGGUACACAGAUUUGGAUGCUUGCUUCUGUCAUCUUCUAAGCUCAAUAAUUAAUAAGAGAUGCAGUGUUUUUUGUUGUUAUUUACUCUUUUUUUUUGGUCAACCAACAUUCAUUAUUAAUUGCUCAACCCAUAAUUAUUUAUUAAUGUU
This is a long non-coding RNA of Halichondria panicea, 371 nucleotides long. RefSeq lists it as uncharacterized. The transcript has 2 exons. The record is from RefSeq and is a predicted model, not a curated record. Lineage: Eukaryota; Metazoa; Porifera; Demospongiae; Suberitida; Halichondriidae.